UUCGGAUUGUAGGCUGCAACUCGCCUACAUGAAGUCGGAAUCGCUAGUAAUCGCGGAUCAGCAUGCCGCGGUGAAUACGUUCCCGGGCCUUGUACACACCGCCCGUCACACCAUGAGAGUUUGUAACACCCAAAGCCGGUGGGGUAACCUUUUGGAGCCAGCCGUCUAAGGUGGGACAGAUGAUUGGGGUGAAGUCGUAACAAGGUAGC
RNAcentral lists this ribosomal RNA (209 nucleotides) under uncultured bacterium. RNAcentral describes it as "partial 16S ribosomal RNA". It matches the Rfam family "Bacterial small subunit ribosomal RNA", at positions 1292 to 1500 of the family's 1533-position model. The record is from RNAcentral.